AGUGAACGCUGGCGGUAGGCCUAACACAUGCAAGUCGAACGGCAGCACAGGAGAGCUUGCUCUCUGGGUGGCGAGUGGCGGACGGGUGAGGAAUACAUCGGAAUCUACUCUGUCGUGGGGGAUAACGUAGGGAAACUUACGCUAAUACCGCAUACGACCUACGGGUGAAAGCAGGGGACCUUCGGGCCUUGCGCGAUUGAAUGAGCCGAUGUCGGAUUAGCUAGUUGGCGGGGUAAAGGCCCACCAAGGCGACGAUCCGUAGCUGGGCUGAGGUGAUGAGCAGCCACACUGGAGCUGAGACACGGUCCAGACGACAACGGGAGGCAGCAGUGGGGAAAAUUAGACAAUGGGCGCGAGCCUGAUCCAGCCAUACCGCGUGGGUGAAGAAGGCCUUCGGGUUGUAAAGCCCUUUUGUUGGGAAAGAAAUCCAGCCGGCUAAUACCCGGUUGGGAUGACGGUACCCAAAGAAUAAGCACCGGCUAACUUCGUGCCAGCCGCCGCGGUAA
This 506-nucleotide ribosomal RNA is filed under the name uncultured bacterium. Its description in RNAcentral is "partial 16S ribosomal RNA". It matches the Rfam family "Bacterial small subunit ribosomal RNA", at positions 29 to 523 of the family's 1533-position model. The record is from RNAcentral.